GGGAAAAAAUAGGACGCUUGAUUGUUUAUUCUCAGUAAAGUUGAUAUCUAAUUCAUCACUUUCCACACAGAUUUAUUUGCUCUCAUUCAUAGAAUAAUACAGUGUAGAAUGUGAUUCUGAUAAAUUAUUAUUGGAGGCCAACAGUAAAAUAACUCCAGGUGAAGAAUGUUAUCUUGAGUCAGAUGCUACUUUGAAGUUAGUUGAAGAUAUUGAACAAUCAGUCAGGCUAGUGGGGAUUGAAAUUUCCUCAAAUGAACCCGCUUCACGCCUUCUCUUGAGGUCAUGUACAGCUACUAGUUCAUGCAGCCACUCCGACAUGUACAACAAAACAGAGCGGAACAUGUCGUAAAAUAGAACCCUUUACAGCCUUCCGCAUUUUAAUAAGUAAGACUUUGCACUUGGUAUAUCACUCAUUUUUUCAUUAUGACCAAAUGUUACUGGAUUGAUAAACAAUGUCAAUGAAUCUAUUUCCUUGAACAAACUUGAGUCUGAAAGUAAUUCACAGAUACAAUUCAUAAAGCUAUUCACAGAUUUACAGAUUCAUGACGGUACAGAGCAAUACUGGAAAAAAAUAAAUAAAUAAAUAAAAUUGAAACAUUAAAAUAGAGCAGUUCACAACGAUUUUCUCCUGGGUUUUUCAAUAGCUUUCUAAACUUCUUAUGUUCAAUGUAUGUUAAAAAUUAAAAAAUUGUAACAUAACAAUCAACAAAUCAAAAUAACAUAUAAAAAGAAAUGAGAUGACAUCAGGGCCUUCACCUUCUUCUUCUGCUAUUCUGUUGUCUGUUGAAUUUUUGUUGGAAUCGAAGGCGUCUGCCGACUGCUAUCUAGGGCACAAAAAUGAAAAGAAUGUUAAGAGAUUCCGAUAUUGAAUGAAGGCGGCGACAGGUGAGAGUUCGUGAGAUGUUGAGAAGAGAUUCAGAAGUCAAAUGGAGGAUAUUUCCGUCUGUGUCUUAGUUAUGAAGAGUUUCGUUUGAAUGGCAAAGGCAAGCUAAGGAAUGGGAAUGGAGAUUUG
This 1012-nucleotide long non-coding RNA is filed under the name Olea europaea subsp. europaea. The record is from RNAcentral. Lineage: Eukaryota; Viridiplantae; Streptophyta; Magnoliopsida; Lamiales; Oleaceae.